AUGCUCAUUUUGGCAGUACAUUUACUAAAAUGAGAAUGAUAGAGAUGAUUUUUAUGGUCCCUGAAAAAGGGUGACACUCAGAUUUGUGAAGUGUACCAUGUACUU
Small nuclear RNA from Choloepus hoffmanni (Hoffmann's two-fingered sloth), 105 nucleotides. The record is from Ensembl. NCBI's taxonomy places the organism in Eukaryota, Metazoa, Chordata, Mammalia, Pilosa, Megalonychidae.